RNAcentral lists this ribosomal RNA (450 nucleotides) under uncultured bacterium. RNAcentral describes it as "bacterial SSU rRNA". It matches the Rfam family "Bacterial small subunit ribosomal RNA", at positions 330 to 793 of the family's 1533-position model. The record is from RNAcentral.
CCCAGACUCCUACGGGAGGCAGCAGUGGGGGAUAUUGCACAAUGGGGGAAACCCUGAUGCAGCGACGCCGCGUGGGCGAAGAAGUAUUUCGGUAUGUAAAGCCCUAUCAGCAGGGAAGAAGAAAUGACGGUACCUGACUAAGAAGCCCCGGCUAACUACGUGCCAGCAGCCGCGGUAAUACGUAGGGGGCAAGCGUUAUCCGGAUUUACUGGGUGUAAAGGGAGCGUAGACGGCGAUGCAAGCCAGAUGUGAAAGCCCGGGGCUCAACCCCGGGACUGCAUUUGGAACUGUGUGGCUGGAGUGUCGGAGAGGCAGGCGGAAUUCCUAGUGUAGCGGUGAAAUGCGUAGAUAUUAGGAGGAACACCAGUGGCGAAGGCGGCCUGCUGGACGAUGACUGACGUUGAGGCUCGAAAGCGUGGGGAGCAAACAGGAUUAGAUACCCCCGUAUGG